GCCGGGGUGGCCGAGCGGACUAAGGCGCAGGCCUUGAGACCCUCAGAACAAGCAAGCCUGUGGCUCCUCGGGAGCCUCAUGGGUUCGAAUCCCAUCCCCGGCG
Molecule: non-coding RNA, 103 nt
Organism: Candidatus Bathyarchaeota archaeon B26-1
Lineage: Archaea; Thermoproteati; Candidatus Bathyarchaeota
Source: Rfam